RNAcentral lists this ribosomal RNA (1343 nucleotides) under uncultured bacterium. RNAcentral's name for it is "16S ribosomal RNA". It matches the Rfam family "Bacterial small subunit ribosomal RNA", at positions 28 to 1378 of the family's 1533-position model. The record is from RNAcentral.
GACGAACGCUGGCGGCGUGCUUAACACAUGCAAGUCGAACGGAAAGGCCCUGCUUUUGUGGGGUGCUCGAGUGGCGAACGGGUGAGUAACACGUGAGUAACCUGCCCUUGACUUUGGGAUAACUUCAGGAAACUGGGGCUAAUACCGGAUAGGAGCUCCUGCUGCAUGGUGGGGGUUGGAAAGUUUCGGCGGUUGGGGAUGGACUCGCGGCUUAUCAGCUUGUUGGUGGGGUAGUGGCUUACCAAGGCUUUGACGGGUAGCCGGCCUGAGAGGGUGACCGGCCACAUUGGGACUGAGAUACGGCCCAGACUCCUACGGGAGGCAGCAGUGGGGAAUAUUGCACAAUGGGCGGAAGCCUGAUGCAGCAACGCCGCGUGCGGGAUGACGGCCUUCGGGUUGUAAACCGCUUUCGCCUGUGACGAAGCGUGAGUGACGGUAAUGGGUAAAGAAGCACCGGCUAACUACGUGCCAGCAGCCGCGGUGAUACGUAGGGUGCGAGCGUUGUCCGGAUUUAUUGGGCGUAAAGGGCUCGUAGGUGGUUGAUCGCGUCGGAAGUGUAAUCUUGGGGCUUAACCCUGAGCGUGCUUUCGAUACGGGUUGACUUGAGGAAGGUAGGGGAGAAUGGAAUUCCUGGUGGAGCGGUGGAAUGCGCAGAUAUCAGGAGGAACACCAGUGGCGAAGGCGGUUCUCUGGGCCUUUCCUGACGCUGAGGAGCGAAAGCGUGGGGAGCGAACAGGCUUAGAUACCCUGGUAGUCCACGCUGUAAACGGUGGGUACUAGGUGUGGGGUCCAUUCCACGGGUUCCGUGCCGUAGCUAACGCUUUAAGUACCCCGCCUGGGGAGUACGGCCGCAAGGCUAAAACUCAAAGGAAUUGACGGGGCCCCGCACAAGCGGCGGAGCAUGCGGAUUAAUUCGAUGCAACGCGUAGAACCUUACCUGGGUUUGACAUGGAUCGGGAGUGCUCAGAGAUGGGUGUGCCUCUUUUGGGGUCGGUUCACAGGUGGUGCAUGGCUGUCGUCAGCUCGUGUCGUGAGAUGUUGGGUUAAGUCCCGCAACGAGCGCAACCCUUGUUCACUGUUGCCAGCACGUUAUGGUGGGGACUCAGUGGAGACCGCCGGGGUCAACUCGGAGGAAGGUGGGGAUGACGUCAAGUCACCAUGCCCCUUAUGUCCAGGGCUUCACGCAUGCUACAAUGGCUGGUACAGAGAGUGGCGAGCCUGUGAGGGUGAGCGAAUCUCGGAAAGCCGGUCUCAGUUCGGAUUGGGGUCUGCAACUCGACCUCAUGAAGUCGGAGUCGCUAGUAAUCGCAGAUCAGCAACGCUGCGGUGAAUACGUUCCCGGG